Long non-coding RNA from Gallus gallus (chicken), 1262 nucleotides. The record is from Ensembl. NCBI's taxonomy places the organism in Eukaryota, Metazoa, Chordata, Aves, Galliformes, Phasianidae.
CAGAACUGAGCUGUGACUGACACUGGUUGUGCCUCUGUGAGAUCCAACUUAAGAAAAGCUUUUGUGCAGCUGCAGCCGGGAGAAAGGAGGGAACAAAUGUAGACAGCAAUAACUCUGCAUUCACCAAGGCCAGUGAGGAUGGAGGGGGAGGAGGUACUCCAGGCAUUGGAAGAGAAGUUCCUCUGCAGCCUGUGGAGAUGCUCAUGGUGCAGCAGGCUAUCCCCUGCAGCCCACGGGGUACCACACAGAGCAGAUCUCCAUGUGCAGCCCAUGGAGGAUCCCACUCAGGAUCAGGUUCCUGUCUGAACCAGGAUUUGGAGAGAAGCCUGUGGUGUAGCAGGUGAUCUGGUGAGAGCUGUGCCUAUGGGAGACAUGCUGAAAAAGUCCAUUCCUGGUGGACUUGUGGACUGUCUUGUGGACCCACAUUAGAGCAGUUCUUGAAAAACUGAAGCUUGUGAAAAGCCCACGUAAGACCAAGAGGAGACAGGCUGCAUCUCGUGGGAGGGACCUCCUCGCUGGAGCAGUAGAAGAGAGCAGGAAAGAAGGAGGAGCAGUGACACAGUGUUACAGACUGACUGCAAUCUCUUUUCCUGUUUUCAGACGGGACAGAGUUGAUUUUCUUCAUAGUGUCUGGUAUGAUAUGAUGUUGUGUCUUUAGGAGAAAAGCAGUGCUGGUAACACAUUGAUGUUUUAGUUGUUGCUGAUCAGUACUGUACAGAGCCAAGGACAUUUCAGCUCUUCAGCUUCUCCUGCUGUCCUACCAGCAAGGGAAUGGGGGGAUGGAGGGAGCUGGGAGGGGACAGAACCAAGGAGCUGAUCUGAACUGGCCAAAGGGAUAUUCCAUACCAUGUGAUGUUAUGUAAAUACACUCUAAAACUGAGGGGAGUUGGCCAAUGUGGAUGCAGCUGCUCAGGAACUGGCUGGGCAUCUAUGAUUGGGUGCUGGAGGGAUCUUACUCCCCUGACUUCUACCUAGAGGCUCAGAGACGUGAGAGACAUGGGAAGCCUGACUGCCAGUGAAGACCAAGGCAAACAAGUAGACUGGAGGUGCACAAAAGGUUUGGAGGGGAAAGAGCAAGUACAGCUAAUCCAGACUGACCAAAGGCAUAUUUCAAACGAUAUGGCUAUGACAUCAUGCUCAACAAUAAAAGCUGGAGUAAGAGUAAAGAAGGAGGAAGGUGGAGGGAACUUUUCAAGAAACAAGAAGCUGUUGCAUAUGAUGGAACCCUCCUAACCUGCAAAUGGCUGAAAAUCUACCUAUCA